This is a long non-coding RNA of Numida meleagris (helmeted guineafowl), 1553 nucleotides long. Ensembl lists it as uncharacterized. Lineage: Eukaryota; Metazoa; Chordata; Aves; Galliformes; Numididae. The record is from Ensembl.
CGGCCCCGGGCCGGGGGGCACCGGGACAUCCCGAGUUGCCGCCGGCCCCGCGCCCACGCGUGCACCCGCGCCCACGCGCGCCCUCGUCGCCGCGUCUUCUCCUCCAGCCGGGAGCCCGAGCCGGGCACAGCGCUGGGGAUUAACUCCGCCGAAGCACGGGGCCGCGCGGGACGGGGGCACCCACGCAGAGCGCGCAGGGAGCUCCGCAGGGAGCACGGCAUUAAGCCAGGCGGAGCAUCGCAGAGCCGCUCCCUCGCAGAAGUCCCCAAGGUAAAAGCCGACGCUUGGUGCCUUCCGGACAGCACGGGGCUCUGGGUUCCUGUUUUUAAUUUUUUUUUUUUCCGGGAUUUUGUUUUUGAAGGCAUCGAUCGGGAGACGUGGGCAGAAAUUGCUGCUGCUGCUGCUGCUGGGGCCGGGAGCUGUGCACCUCCAGAGUGCACGGGGAGCAGCUGAACUUUGGCACUGAGGAAGAUCCAUUUCUCCUCCGUAAACACUUUGGGGACGGUCACAGCGUGUCACUGCGCACCCAGCGCUGCAGCACCCGGAGCCGGAGCAACACUGGGGGGUUCCUCUCUCGCCAAGGACAGUCACCUGUGUAAGGAGCUGGGGAAGGGCAAUUCGUCUUUCUUUUCCAGAUGACUGAAAAUACCGAGAGGAUCGUGGCUCUCUGCUUUUCAUCGGCAAGUGGCACCGGGGAGAGGUGGCUGAGAGAUGGAAAUGAUGUUGCUUCAAUUCAUCCCAGCAUCUACUUUUUCCCGAGGGACUCCAUGCCCAUAGGGGUUUGCUGCAUGCAUGUCCAGCAGUGAGGACCGCGGUACCACAGAUGGAACCCAACUGGAUCAUGUAAGAAUUUGAUACUGAGAAACCCACCCCAGCAAGACUUUCUCUGCCUGAAGUAUAUGGUUCGGUGUAAGCACAGCAGUUUUUGCCUAUUUCUCUCCCUUUUACAUCUCUUGGGCUUGGAGAUCUCUGUCCCCAUUGCAACUAUGCUCAUUUGCAACAUCAGUGCCAUCAAAGAUUGGAGCACUUUCCUCUCCCAGAUCCUCCCCAGCGUGAACAAAACCCUGAACUUGGUGCAGCAAGUGGAGGCCACCACCAGCUCAGUGGUGAACGUCCUGCAGGACCCUGAGCAGGACAGCUACCUGGCCAACAGCCAGCCCAUGAACUCCAGCAACUUCACAGCCGGCCUAGACCACUUGUUUCAGUACUCUUACUCUGACAAUGACCAGCUGUACAAGGAGUACAAACCCCCUCCUCGCGACGCCAUCCCUCUGCCCAAGGCUGUCCUGUACCUCCUCAUGGCAGCCCUGGUGGUGGUGGCGGUGGCGUACGCCAUCGUUGGGCACCUCAUCAAGGACCUCAUUCAUGACUUUAUAGAUUGGAUCUUCGGCCCCAACCCAGAUGACAACAGCAACAAAAGCGACGUCAACUGCAUCACCAACAGCGUCAACGAGAUGAGCGAGAUGCCCGAGGUGCCGCGCCACCGCGACCGCCAGCCCCAGGACGUGGUCAUCGCCAUCGGCGAGACCUGCCACCUGCCGCAGCAGACGUGA